Mizuhopecten yessoensis (Yesso scallop) is the source of this 942-nucleotide long non-coding RNA. RefSeq lists it as uncharacterized. The record is from RefSeq and is a predicted model, not a curated record. The transcript is spliced from 2 exons. Lineage: Eukaryota; Metazoa; Mollusca; Bivalvia; Pectinida; Pectinidae.
UUUUGGAACUUUUUUUCUCUGUACAUAUGUGAGUGGUUAACAUUAGAUGUGAGAGUUUGUGACUAAUCUUUUCAUUAUGAUUCAUCAUCUCAGGGGAAAAAUCCUGUUGUGAAAUGAGGAAGGAGAGGUAGAGUGGGUAUCAUUCCACAGAAGAAAGGAAGUCGGCUAAAAUCUGCUGAUUUCAAGGUUUUAAUUUGACUGGAAGAGCUGUCUGUAUCAUGAGUCAUACACAGCACAAGCCACCCCACAGAACUAGACUUGAGGCUUGUGUACCAGCACGCUGUUGUAUCAGACAUUUCAUGGAAUGUAUCAGGCCAGACAACUCAUUACACUGAAGUUUGGGUGGAUUUACCAGUGUUUUUCUACAUAGAUCCGGAGUUCCAGGACAACCCUUUCCUUGCAGACUGUGACAAUGUGGUUCUGUCCUACACAUUUUUCCAGGCCAAACCAGGACUCCACCUACCCUUACCUGGCUUUCAUUCUGCCAAGUCUUGACCACUGGUCAGGCAAGGCGUUUUCACUGCUCUAAGGUGAACUGGGCCUCUCCACUUGGCCAGGUAGACUCUCUAGUGUGUUCUGUGCAGCUGUGUACCUGAUAAAUAAGACUUUAUAGUGUUUAGUUGGACUCAAGAGAAUAAUUUACAGGUAUAAUUUUGCUUUUGAAAACUGUGAUUCUGGAUAAUAUAUCUGCAAAAAUGCUUCAUGGACUUCAAUAAAUUUGUACAUAUUUUGACCCUAUCUGGUAUUGAUGUAAGUACAGACACCUGUCUAUUGCAACCUCUGAGUAUUCCGAGGUCCUGUAACACUAAAUAAAACAAGUGUGACGUGAUACCUCAAUCUGUUUUGUCCUACAGGUUGUUAGCUAAGACAGGUUUCACUGUAUUAAAAGCAAUGUGUAAACUUUCUGUGAUUUUGUAAAAAUAAUAAAUUAUAGAAAUUAUA